This 329-nucleotide long non-coding RNA is filed under the name Nicotiana benthamiana. RNAcentral's name for it is "long non-coding RNA (NBEN_LNC015884)". Lineage: Eukaryota; Viridiplantae; Streptophyta; Magnoliopsida; Solanales; Solanaceae. The record is from RNAcentral.
GAGGUUAGCCUGGGGAGAAAAGGAAAAGGAAUAUCAGGCCACUAUCCAUGAUCUACGAGACGAAUUGAGAAAUGUAACCUUCAACAAUGAUUUAUAUGCACAAGAGGCCGAGGGUGAAAGAAGAAGAUUGGUUUGAGAAAAUGAAGCUCUCAGGGCCCAGAUUCGAUAGUUGAAAAUUGUAGUCGAGUACCAAGGCCGAAGUAGGAAAGAUGAAAUGCUCAUUUACAACCUUACUCAAAAGGUGCGUGACUAUGAAGAUGACCUACAGAAAGCCGUGUCUAAACUAGCAAAAGCACAGACAAAGGUUGGCUAAAAGCACCGAAGGGCGU